Molecule: long non-coding RNA, 762 nt
Organism: Lepisosteus oculatus (spotted gar)
Lineage: Eukaryota; Metazoa; Chordata; Actinopteri; Semionotiformes; Lepisosteidae
Source: Ensembl
CUUAGCCAGGCUGGUCUUGUCCUGAAGACGGAAUAUACCUGGGUAUGCAGCCUGGCCACCUCAGGAACUCGCUUUCAAACAGGUGAGCACGGCUGGAACUUCACGCCGGUCGGCGAGCGCGUAUGAAUUUGUAUUAAUAACAUAUAUAAAUGUAAACCUGGAAGAGAGAGUUCGGUAUUGCUGACGCGGCUACAGAACUGGGAGGGAUUUCAUCAGUUUCAGCACCGAGAUAAAGACGGCAGCAGUACACGUUCACACACACAUUACAGUACAGGCUCACCGUGGGGUCUGGGUUACAUUACCUCCGCCGCACCUCACGAUAAAGCCAGCUAGCUGCUCAGGAGUUAAUCGGGAGAGAAAAGAAAUAAGACAAUGGCAAAUCUUUCCUGCAACGCGGAGGACGCGAUUCGUGUGAAAGCGAGGGAUGUUAAGCUGAGGAGGGAGGACAUAGAAGAUUCUCAGCCUGAAGCUAAGAGAGUCAGAUUGGAGAGCAGCGAAGGAGGAAUCAGUGUUAACGAAACGGAGAUUCAGUGUGCUAAAAUGAAUGGGGGUCAGCCGUUACAGAUACCAGAGGAGACAAGACUACAGCCCGCUGGAGAUGCACAAACCGUUUUGAUGAGCUUACCCUUAAGCAAGAGUCAGAUUUUAAUUGGAGUGUCCUCCGGGUGCAGCAGACAGCCUGAAGACUCUGUGGAUGUGAGUUCAAGUUGUGCUUGUCUUUAUGCUUCUUGAGGUGAAGGUCCACUGACGUCAUCAUGACAC